RNAcentral lists this long non-coding RNA (11665 nucleotides) under Gossypium barbadense (sea-island cotton). Its description in RNAcentral is "long non-coding RNA (GBAR_LNC015677)". The record is from RNAcentral. Lineage: Eukaryota; Viridiplantae; Streptophyta; Magnoliopsida; Malvales; Malvaceae.
UUUAAAACUGUACCUAAAUAACCAACCAAUCAAUCAUAGAACAUAUUCAUUAUUUGCCAUCAUAAACCACACCUAAAUAACCAAUACAUAAUCAAUAUAUAUAUUCGUCAUAUAGCCUAUAGGAACAUACACCAUGAGUAAAAAAAAAUACAUCCAUCAUUUACCUCAUUACUCAAGCCGAAUUAUAUGACCAUCCACACAAGAUAUACCAUAUAACAUACUUCCAAAAUAACCUAAUUACAUGGUCGAUUUAUACAUCAUACUUAACAUUACUUUCAAGCCAUUUCGCAUGGCUAUAUAUAUACCAUUCAAAACAAAGCUUAUCGAAAAUAGCUUAUACAUCAUUUACAAGCCAACUCACAUGGCUAAUUUCAUAUCUCAAAACAUAUCCUAUUGACACUAACCUAUACAUGUCAUAUACCAUAUAUACACAACUCAAAAGUACCAAGUAGAUGGUUGGAUAGUGUGAAGUAGUCUCUGACGAUUCCCGAAUUUGAGCUAGCCUUGAAUUCACUAUAAAACACAGGAAAAACAAACAAGGUAAGCUACAAAUCUUAGUAAGUUCGUACUAAAUAUACUCAACAAUUCAUAAAACACAAAUCAUUAAUUUGAACAAUUUAAUGUAUAAUUCAUGAUAAUAUCAAACAUUCCAUAAGCUUAUUCAUAUACUUAUAUGCAAAGUUUUAACCUAUUCUAUUUGAAAUUCAUACUUACAUGUACAUACCUGUACAAAUUCAUAACGAAUUCAUAUAUUCGCGUAACACUAUCGAAUACUCAAUGUUUCGCACACUAAAUGCCAUCGCAUAGCCGAAGCUAUUAUAAUCCCACACACUAAGUGUCUUACAUAGCCGAAACUAUCUCUGUCUCGCACACUAAAUGCCAUAAAUAGCCGAAUUAGCUAUCUCAAAUCGCACACUAAGUGCUAAACAUAGUCGAUUAAUCGUCAAACAUGAUUGUAUUCUAUACAAUUUAUGCAAUAUCAAAGCAUUAAAAGCAUAAUUGUAACAAUGUUUAUCACGUACGAACUUACCUGGGAUGCUAAAAUGGUGAAUCGAGUCGUUUAGUCGAUAACUUCAGUUUUCCCCCGAUCUAGGUCUAAAUUUCGCUUUUCUUGAUCUAUAUAAUAUCAAAUUCAGCUUAUUCAAUCACUAAUUUAUUCAAUUUAAUCCAAAACACACAUUUGGGCACGUUUACACUUUUCCCCCAAAGUUUCACAUUUUUACAAUUUAGUCCAUAUUUCACAAAUACACAAAAUUCAUGAAAUUUAAUACCUUCCUAAGUUAGCCGAAUUUUCCUAGUGCACAUAUCAGCCCAUAUUUAUCAUUUAUUCACACAUUUAACCACAUGUUUUCACAUUUUCACAAAUAAAUCCCUAUUUGACUUUUUUUGUCAAAAAUCACUUAACAAAAUAUGAUAAUCUAUCAACAAAUAUCCAUUUUUCAUCAUCAAACAUUUAAAAGCUUAAACAUUCAUCAAUGGCACUUCAUAAAAACAUUGACAAUUUCAAAAAUUAAGGCAUGGGCUAGCUAGAAUAUAAAGCAACAAUCUCAAAAACGUAAAAAUCAUCAAAAAUCGAGCUCAAAACACUUACCAAUUAAGUCCUAAUUGACCGAACCCUAAAAUGAACUAAAUGUUUUCUUCUUCCAUUAUAUUCGGCCAAAGAAAGAUGAAAUGAAGGUUAGUUUUGGUUUUGUUUUAAUUUAAUUAAAUUUAAAUCACAAAUUACUUAAUUAACCUUAACGAAAUAACAUUAAAUAUAUAUAAUGGUUGUCCAUAAAUGUCCACUUACACAAUCAAUGGUCUAAUAUCAUCAUAAGAACCUUUGGUUUAAUUAAUCAUAGCAAUUAAACACAUUUAACAUAUAGAAUGCCACUUUUGCAUUUUACGCGAUUAAGUUCUUUUUCUCAAAUUGAGCUAUUAAACGAUAAAAUUAAAUCACGAAACUUUCACACAUAUAUAAUCACAUGCUUUAAACACCAAAAAUAAUAUUAAAAUAAUUUUUCAACCUCGAAUUUGUGGUUUCGAAACCACUGUUCCGAUUUAGCUAAAACCGGGUUGUUACAAGGGGUUAAUGUUGCAAUAUUCUCAUCCCUUUUGUUGGGUGACUUUGGCCAUUUGUUGGUCGGCCCCUCACACCUCAUUAUGGAUGGAGAUGUAUUACACGUUCGCGCUUCAUUGGAUGUUUAUCUAUUAAUGAGCAUUUUCUCAACCUUUAUCUUUUACCUUUUAUGCUUACUAUGUGUAUGUAAAAUGCUUGUGUGGAAUUUGAGUUUAAUCAUGUGUUGAAUUGUUUUAUUGGUUGAUUGAUGAAUGGGUUACUUAGCUAAGUUAUUAUCUAUGUUUUGAUUGGUUGUUUGUUCAAGUGCAUUAAAUUGCAUAUUACACUAGAAUUGAUACCUCAAGUGGAAGAUUUAGAUAGACGAGAUCGAGAGGAGACUCUAUCAUGUAAGACUUUGAUAUACUUGUGUUGAGUACUGAGACCGAGAGGAGAUUUAUAUGCUUACAUGAGACCGGGAAGAGAACCUAGUGGUAUCUUUUAGUCUAGGAUGAGACUAAGAGGAGAUCCUUAACUAAGAGUGACAAACAAUAUGAUCAUCAUAGGUGUAUUAGCUUAGUUAUAAUCCAUGACUCAUUUAACCAUCAUUUCAAUCCAUUUGCAUAUUUUCUAAUAAAAAGGUUGAUAUUUUUAUUUGUUAAUUUAAAUUUAGUUUAUAAACAAUUUGUAAUUAAAUUUGCAUUAAUAAUUUUCAACUUUAUUAGAUUAGUAAUUGUUUAACUUGUAAUUAACUUGAUAAAGCAUUUACCAAUUUGGCAAUCCUUUAGGUUUGAUCCUUGGAAUCCUCUAGUGUUCCAUUGACAUUACAAAUAUGACAAUUGACACUGUACACUUACAAUUAAAAUCGCACUUUUAAAUCGUUUUAUAAAAUUGUUUAUUUUUUUGCGUACGCGCACGUGCGGUCAAAGACUCAACUCACUUUCACGAAAAUACAAAUAACAACGAUGUUGUCUUUGUAAUGAACCAACCUAAAACAAAAGUUAGUGUUUCUUUCAGAAAAAUUGGUUGAAUUGAAAAAAAAUUAUAAAUUUUUUAAAAUUCUUUCAUUACUCAACAAAAAAAAUCAUUAAAAAAAAGGUGAUUACUUGUGGAGGGAGAAGAAUGGACGAAAUAGAUAGAAAUGAGAAUGAAUGAGGGUGAGAAUGAAAAGAAUUGUUGAUGCGUAAAAAAACUUAGGUGACGUAAUAUUAUUGAGAGGAACCAGAUUUAUAUAGUAAGAAGGAUCUACUUAAUAUUUUUUCUUGAUGAUGAGGUUGGAGUUGUUAAAAAAAAAAGAGAAAAGCGUGGAAGAAAAAAAAGUAAAAAUAAAUAAAUAAAGUGUCACAUGUUAUAAUUUAAUUGGUUCGAAAAGAAAUUUUAGUGGACCUAUCAUUGUCACGAAAUCAUAGUUUAAAUGUCUAAUUCAACCAAAAAAAAAUGAAGUACCUAACUCAAAAAAGUGAUAUAGUUUGAGGACUGAUUAUUGAAUUAAGCAUAAUUUUUUCUAGUAUGAUAUGUAUAUAUAGUGGUUUUCUGUAUCUACUUGAAAGAAAAAGAAUAUUUUUAACCUAUAGCUUUGAUAUGAGUGACUUACAACUGUUGGCGCCGUAAUAAAUCCGUUACCACACCCACGUGCCACUAUCCUCUUUGCUGUCAACCAGCAUAAAUUUACCCCUAAAAGAUGAAGUAAAAAUGAAAAUGAUAUUUACCGUUUACCCAUAUGGGUUUAUAUUUGGCACGUGUGAAACAGAACACAACUACCAGUCGGGGCGUAGAAGUUCGGUUUGUUUGAAAGUUCCGAAACAGCUCCCUUCCCAACCCCAUCUCUUAUGUCUCUGUGCAUCUACUUUCCAACUAACAUUCCAAACCUCAACUAAUUCUCAAACUUCAUUAAUUAUUUCUCUCUCUUUUUCUAUUUCCUAUUUAUCACCUUCCUUAAAUUUAUUACUCAAAAUUGGAUCAUUUAUAAACUUACCUAAUUUUUUACACCUUUUAUUUUAAUUAUCCAAUUAUGGAGAGUCAAAAAAUAUAUAUUUGGAUCACUGGAAUUAAAUUGUAUAUUUUUACGAUAAUAGAAAUGCAAUCUCAUCAUUUUAAUUUUCUAUAUCUUUAUAACUUUUAAAUAAUUCAAUCAAAUUUUAUUAUUUUUAGGGGACCAAAAUAUAAAUUUGAUAAAUUAUAAAUAAUCUAAAUUUUAAAAAAAAAUCAUUUUAAGGGACCAAACCCCUACCAACCCUUGACUCCAUUAGGACUUUUAUUAUAUAAAAGAAGUAAUUCAUCAAUAGACAUUAUUUUUGUUUUUUUCUUACCUACGAGUUUACAUUAGAUUAUUUAUAAUAAAAUGAUUCUUUGAGUUUAGUAAAAGAUUAAAAAUCCAUUUUCUUUAUAAAUCAAUAAACUGAAUUAUAAGGGUAUUUCAAAUUUUAUAUAUAAUAUUUUUUAGAAAAUGGUUUUUUUCAAAAAAAAAAAAAAGAAGAAAUACCUCUACUGGAAAUUUAAUGAUAUUUAUUUUAAAAAUAAAUAGUUGUCUCAUAAAAAAUAUUUAUAACUUUCUUUUAGUACUUGCCAUUUUUAUUUUAAAAAUAUUUUCUAUUACAUUAUUUUAAAAAUAUUUAUAACAUAUAUUCAAAUAAAAGGUAAAAAGAAAAUAAUGGGCUAAGCAGUCCUGGCGCACAAAGAGUUGUCGUGUUACACGCGCUGAGAUGAGGAAGGUGGGCCAAAGUGCUCCGUUUUGAUGAAAAAAUUAUUGAAAGUACUUUGUAUCGGAGAGUCAAAAGAAAAUGGAGACAGUUAGUUGGCGGUAUUAUCACACACUCUCUCUUACCCCGUGUAAUCCACCAAUCCCAAUCCAAAAAUAACCAACAAACAUUAAUAUGUCACUCUAUAACUAUAUAUAUAACCAACAAAACAUACCUAAAACAUAAUCAUUAUUUACCAUUUAAAACUGUACCUAAAUAACCAACCAAUCAAUCAUAGAACAUAUUCAUUAUUUGCCAUCAUAAACCACACCUAAAUAACCAAUACAUAAUCAAUAUAUAUAUUCGUCAUAUAGCCUAUAGGAACAUACACCAUGAGUAAAAAAAAAUACAUCCAUCAUUUACCUCAUUACUCAAGCCGAAUUAUAUGACCAUCCACACAAGAUAUACCAUAUAACAUACUUCCAAAAUAACCUAAUUACAUGGUCGAUUUAUACAUCAUACUUAACAUUACUUUCAAGCCAUUUCGCAUGGCUAUAUAUAUACCAUUCAAAACAAAGCUUAUCGAAAAUAGCUUAUACAUCAUUUACAAGCCAACUCACAUGGCUAAUUUCAUAUCUCAAAACAUAUCCUAUUGACACUAACCUAUACAUGUCAUAUACCAUAUAUACACAACUCAAAAGUACCAAGUAGAUGGUUGGAUAGUGUGAAGUAGUCUCUGACGAUUCCCGAAUUUGAGCUAGCCUUGAAUUCACUAUAAAACACAGGAAAAACAAACAAGGUAAGCUACAAAUCUUAGUAAGUUCGUACUAAAUAUACUCAACAAUUCAUAAAACACAAAUCAUUAAUUUGAACAAUUUAAUGUAUAAUUCAUGAUAAUAUCAAACAUUCCAUAAGCUUAUUCAUAUACUUAUAUGCAAAGUUUUAACCUAUUCUAUUUGAAAUUCAUACUUACAUGUACAUACCUGUACAAAUUCAUAACGAAUUCAUAUAUUCGCGUAACACUAUCGAAUACUCAAUGUUUCGCACACUAAAUGCCAUCGCAUAGCCGAAGCUAUUAUAAUCCCACACACUAAGUGUCUUACAUAGCCGAAACUAUCUCUGUCUCGCACACUAAAUGCCAUAAAUAGCCGAAUUAGCUAUCUCAAAUCGCACACUAAGUGCUAAACAUAGUCGAUUAAUCGUCAAACAUGAUUGUAUUCUAUACAAUUUAUGCAAUAUCAAAGCAUUAAAAGCAUAAUUGUAACAAUGUUUAUCACGUACGAACUUACCUGGGAUGCUAAAAUGGUGAAUCGAGUCGUUUAGUCGAUAACUUCAGUUUUCCCCCGAUCUAGGUCUAAAUUUCGCUUUUCUUGAUCUAUAUAAUAUCAAAUUCAGCUUAUUCAAUCACUAAUUUAUUCAAUUUAAUCCAAAACACACAUUUGGGCACGUUUACACUUUUCCCCCAAAGUUUCACAUUUUUACAAUUUAGUCCAUAUUUCACAAAUACACAAAAUUCAUGAAAUUUAAUACCUUCCUAAGUUAGCCGAAUUUUCCUAGUGCACAUAUCAGCCCAUAUUUAUCAUUUAUUCACACAUUUAACCACAUGUUUUCACAUUUUCACAAAUAAAUCCCUAUUUGACUUUUUUUGUCAAAAAUCACUUAACAAAAUAUGAUAAUCUAUCAACAAAUAUCCAUUUUUCAUCAUCAAACAUUUAAAAGCUUAAACAUUCAUCAAUGGCACUUCAUAAAAACAUUGACAAUUUCAAAAAUUAAGGCAUGGGCUAGCUAGAAUAUAAAGCAACAAUCUCAAAAACGUAAAAAUCAUCAAAAAUCGAGCUCAAAACACUUACCAAUUAAGUCCUAAUUGACCGAACCCUAAAAUGAACUAAAUGUUUUCUUCUUCCAUUAUAUUCGGCCAAAGAAAGAUGAAAUGAAGGUUAGUUUUGGUUUUGUUUUAAUUUAAUUAAAUUUAAAUCACAAAUUACUUAAUUAACCUUAACGAAAUAACAUUAAAUAUAUAUAAUGGUUGUCCAUAAAUGUCCACUUACACAAUCAAUGGUCUAAUAUCAUCAUAAGAACCUUUGGUUUAAUUAAUCAUAGCAAUUAAACACAUUUAACAUAUAGAAUGCCACUUUUGCAUUUUACGCGAUUAAGUUCUUUUUCUCAAAUUGAGCUAUUAAACGAUAAAAUUAAAUCACGAAACUUUCACACAUAUAUAAUCACAUGCUUUAAACACCAAAAAUAAUAUUAAAAUAAUUUUUCAACCUCGAAUUUGUGGUUUCGAAACCACUGUUCCGAUUUAGCUAAAACCGGGUUGUUACAAGGGGUUAAUGUUGCAAUAUUCUCAUCCCUUUUGUUGGGUGACUUUGGCCAUUUGUUGGUCGGCCCCUCACACCUCAUUAUGGAUGGAGAUGUAUUACACGUUCGCGCUUCAUUGGAUGUUUAUCUAUUAAUGAGCAUUUUCUCAACCUUUAUCUUUUACCUUUUAUGCUUACUAUGUGUAUGUAAAAUGCUUGUGUGGAAUUUGAGUUUAAUCAUGUGUUGAAUUGUUUUAUUGGUUGAUUGAUGAAUGGGUUACUUAGCUAAGUUAUUAUCUAUGUUUUGAUUGGUUGUUUGUUCAAGUGCAUUAAAUUGCAUAUUACACUAGAAUUGAUACCUCAAGUGGAAGAUUUAGAUAGACGAGAUCGAGAGGAGACUCUAUCAUGUAAGACUUUGAUAUACUUGUGUUGAGUACUGAGACCGAGAGGAGAUUUAUAUGCUUACAUGAGACCGGGAAGAGAACCUAGUGGUAUCUUUUAGUCUAGGAUGAGACUAAGAGGAGAUCCUUAACUAAGAGUGACAAACAAUAUGAUCAUCAUAGGUGUAUUAGCUUAGUUAUAAUCCAUGACUCAUUUAACCAUCAUUUCAAUCCAUUUGCAUAUUUUCUAAUAAAAAGGUUGAUAUUUUUAUUUGUUAAUUUAAAUUUAGUUUAUAAACAAUUUGUAAUUAAAUUUGCAUUAAUAAUUUUCAACUUUAUUAGAUUAGUAAUUGUUUAACUUGUAAUUAACUUGAUAAAGCAUUUACCAAUUUGGCAAUCCUUUAGGUUUGAUCCUUGGAAUCCUCUAGUGUUCCAUUGACAUUACAAAUAUGACAAUUGACACUGUACACUUACAAUUAAAAUCGCACUUUUAAAUCGUUUUAUAAAAUUGUUUAUUUUUUUGCGUACGCGCACGUGCGGUCAAAGACUCAACUCACUUUCACGAAAAUACAAAUAACAACGAUGUUGUCUUUGUAAUGAACCAACCUAAAACAAAAGUUAGUGUUUCUUUCAGAAAAAUUGGUUGAAUUGAAAAAAAAUUAUAAAUUUUUUAAAAUUCUUUCAUUACUCAACAAAAAAAAUCAUUAAAAAAAAGGUGAUUACUUGUGGAGGGAGAAGAAUGGACGAAAUAGAUAGAAAUGAGAAUGAAUGAGGGUGAGAAUGAAAAGAAUUGUUGAUGCGUAAAAAAACUUAGGUGACGUAAUAUUAUUGAGAGGAACCAGAUUUAUAUAGUAAGAAGGAUCUACUUAAUAUUUUUUCUUGAUGAUGAGGUUGGAGUUGUUAAAAAAAAAAGAGAAAAGCGUGGAAGAAAAAAAAGUAAAAAUAAAUAAAUAAAGUGUCACAUGUUAUAAUUUAAUUGGUUCGAAAAGAAAUUUUAGUGGACCUAUCAUUGUCACGAAAUCAUAGUUUAAAUGUCUAAUUCAACCAAAAAAAAAUGAAGUACCUAACUCAAAAAAGUGAUAUAGUUUGAGGACUGAUUAUUGAAUUAAGCAUAAUUUUUUCUAGUAUGAUAUGUAUAUAUAGUGGUUUUCUGUAUCUACUUGAAAGAAAAAGAAUAUUUUUAACCUAUAGCUUUGAUAUGAGUGACUUACAACUGUUGGCGCCGUAAUAAAUCCGUUACCACACCCACGUGCCACUAUCCUCUUUGCUGUCAACCAGCAUAAAUUUACCCCUAAAAGAUGAAGUAAAAAUGAAAAUGAUAUUUACCGUUUACCCAUAUGGGUUUAUAUUUGGCACGUGUGAAACAGAACACAACUACCAGUCGGGGCGUAGAAGUUCGGUUUGUUUGAAAGUUCCGAAACAGCUCCCUUCCCAACCCCAUCUCUUAUGUCUCUGUGCAUCUACUUUCCAACUAACAUUCCAAACCUCAACUAAUUCUCAAACUUCAUUAAUUAUUUCUCUCUCUUUUUCUAUUUCCUAUUUAUCACCUUCCUUAAAUUUAUUACUCAAAAUUGGAUCAUUUAUAAACUUACCUAAUUUUUUACACCUUUUAUUUUAAUUAUCCAAUUAUGGAGAGUCAAAAAAUAUAUAUUUGGAUCACUGGAAUUAAAUUGUAUAUUUUUACGAUAAUAGAAAUGCAAUCUCAUCAUUUUAAUUUUCUAUAUCUUUAUAACUUUUAAAUAAUUCAAUCAAAUUUUAUUAUUUUUAGGGGACCAAAAUAUAAAUUUGAUAAAUUAUAAAUAAUCUAAAUUUUAAAAAAAAAUCAUUUUAAGGGACCAAACCCCUACCAACCCUUGACUCCAUUAGGACUUUUAUUAUAUAAAAGAAGUAAUUCAUCAAUAGACAUUAUUUUUGUUUUUUUCUUACCUACGAGUUUACAUUAGAUUAUUUAUAAUAAAAUGAUUCUUUGAGUUUAGUAAAAGAUUAAAAAUCCAUUUUCUUUAUAAAUCAAUAAACUGAAUUAUAAGGGUAUUUCAAAUUUUAUAUAUAAUAUUUUUUAGAAAAUGGUUUUUUUCAAAAAAAAAAAAAAGAAGAAAUACCUCUACUGGAAAUUUAAUGAUAUUUAUUUUAAAAAUAAAUAGUUGUCUCAUAAAAAAUAUUUAUAACUUUCUUUUAGUACUUGCCAUUUUUAUUUUAAAAAUAUUUUCUAUUACAUUAUUUUAAAAAUAUUUAUAACAUAUAUUCAAAUAAAAGGUAAAAAGAAAAUAAUGGGCUAAGCAGUCCUGGCGCACAAAGAGUUGUCGUGUUACACGCGCUGAGAUGAGGAAGGUGGGCCAAAGUGCUCCGUUUUGAUGAAAAAAUUAUUGAAAGUACUUUGUAUCGGAGAGUCAAAAGAAAAUGGAGACAGUUAGUUGGCGGUAUUAUCACACACUCUCUCUUACCCCGUGUAAUCCACCAAUCCCAAUCCAAAAAUAACCAACAAACAUUAAUAUGUCACUCUAUAACUAUAUAUAUAACCAACAAAACAUACCUAAAACAUAAUCAUUAUUUACCAUUUAAAACUGUACCUAAAUAACCAACCAAUCAAUCAUAGAACAUAUUCAUUAUUUGCCAUCAUAAACCACACCUAAAUAACCAAUACAUAAUCAAUAUAUAUAUUCGUCAUAUAGCCUAUAGGAACAUACACCAUGAGUAAAAAAAAAUACAUCCAUCAUUUACCUCAUUACUCAAGCCGAAUUAUAUGACCAUCCACACAAGAUAUACCAUAUAACAUACUUCCAAAAUAACCUAAUUACAUGGUCGAUUUAUACAUCAUACUUAACAUUACUUUCAAGCCAUUUCGCAUGGCUAUAUAUAUACCAUUCAAAACAAAGCUUAUCGAAAAUAGCUUAUACAUCAUUUACAAGCCAACUCACAUGGCUAAUUUCAUAUCUCAAAACAUAUCCUAUUGACACUAACCUAUACAUGUCAUAUACCAUAUAUACACAACUCAAAAGUACCAAGUAGAUGGUUGGAUAGUGUGAAGUAGUCUCUGACGAUUCCCGAAUUUGAGCUAGCCUUGAAUUCACUAUAAAACACAGGAAAAACAAACAAGGUAAGCUACAAAUCUUAGUAAGUUCGUACUAAAUAUACUCAACAAUUCAUAAAACACAAAUCAUUAAUUUGAACAAUUUAAUGUAUAAUUCAUGAUAAUAUCAAACAUUCCAUAAGCUUAUUCAUAUACUUAUAUGCAAAGUUUUAACCUAUUCUAUUUGAAAUUCAUACUUACAUGUACAUACCUGUACAAAUUCAUAACGAAUUCAUAUAUUCGCGUAACACUAUCGAAUACUCAAUGUUUCGCACACUAAAUGCCAUCGCAUAGCCGAAGCUAUUAUAAUCCCACACACUAAGUGUCUUACAUAGCCGAAACUAUCUCUGUCUCGCACACUAAAUGCCAUAAAUAGCCGAAUUAGCUAUCUCAAAUCGCACACUAAGUGCUAAACAUAGUCGAUUAAUCGUCAAACAUGAUUGUAUUCUAUACAAUUUAUGCAAUAUCAAAGCAUUAAAAGCAUAAUUGUAACAAUGUUUAUCACGUACGAACUUACCUGGGAUGCUAAAAUGGUGAAUCGAGUCGUUUAGUCGAUAACUUCAGUUUUCCCCCGAUCUAGGUCUAAAUUUCGCUUUUCUUGAUCUAUAUAAUAUCAAAUUCAGCUUAUUCAAUCACUAAUUUAUUCAAUUUAAUCCAAAACACACAUUUGGGCACGUUUACACUUUUCCCCCAAAGUUUCACAUUUUUACAAUUUAGUCCAUAUUUCACAAAUACACAAAAUUCAUGAAAUUUAAUACCUUCCUAAGUUAGCCGAAUUUUCCUAGUGCACAUAUCAGCCCAUAUUUAUCAUUUAUUCACACAUUUAACCACAUGUUUUCACAUUUUCACAAAUAAAUCCCUAUUUGACUUUUUUUGUCAAAAAUCACUUAACAAAAUAUGAUAAUCUAUCAACAAAUAUCCAUUUUUCAUCAUCAAACAUUUAAAAGCUUAAACAUUCAUCAAUGGCACUUCAUAAAAACAUUGACAAUUUCAAAAAUUAAGGCAUGGGCUAGCUAGAAUAUAAAGCAACAAUCUCAAAAACGUAAAAAUCAUCAAAAAUCGAGCUCAAAACACUUACCAAUUAAGUCCUAAUUGACCGAACCCUAAAAUGAACUAAAUGUUUUCUUCUUCCAUUAUAUUCGGCCAAAGAAAGAUGAAAUGAAGGUUAGUUUUGGUUUUGUUUUAAUUUAAUUAAAUUUAAAUCACAA